Molecule: ribosomal RNA, 1249 nt
Filed under: Escherichia coli
Lineage: Bacteria; Pseudomonadati; Pseudomonadota; Gammaproteobacteria; Enterobacterales; Enterobacteriaceae
Description: partial 23S ribosomal RNA
Rfam family: Bacterial large subunit ribosomal RNA
Source: RNAcentral
GGCACUACGGUGCUGAAGCAACAAAUGCCCUGCUUCCAGGAAAAGCCUCUAAGCAUCAGGUAACAUCAAAUCGUACCCCAAACCGACACAGGUGGUCAGGUAGAGAAUACCAAGGCGCUUGAGAGAACUCGGGUGAAGGAACUAGGCAAAAUGGUGCCGUAACUUCGGGAGAAGGCACGCUGAUAUGUAGGUGAAGCGACUUGCUCGUGGAGCUGAAAUCAGUCGAAGAUACCAGCUGGCUGCAACUGUUUAUUAAAAACACAGCACUGUGCAAACACGAAAGUGGACGUAUACGGUGUGACGCCUGCCCGGUGCCGGAAGGUUAAUUGAUGGGGUUAGCGGUAACGCGAAGCUCUUGAUCGAAGCCCCGGUAAACGGCGGCCGUAACUAUAACGGUCCUAAGGUAGCGAAAUUCCUUGUCGGGUAAGUUCCGACCUGCACGAAUGGCGUAAUGAUGGCCAGGCUGUCUCCACCCGAGACUCAGUGAAAUUGAACUCGCUGUGAAGAUGCAGUGUACCCGCGGCAAGACGGAAAGACCCCGUGAACCUUUACUAUAGCUUGACACUGAACAUUGAGCCUUGAUGUGUAGGAUAGGUGGGAGGCUUUGAAGUGUGGACGCCAGUCUGCAUGGAGCCGACCUUGAAAUACCACCCUUUAAUGUUUGAUGUUCUAACGUUGGCCCGUUAUCCGGGUUGCGGACAGUGUCUGGUGGGUAGUUUGACUGGGGCGGUCUCCUCCUAAAGAGUAACGGAGGAGCACGAAGGUUGGCUAAUCCUGGUCGGACAUCAGGAGGUUAGUGCAAUGGCAUAAGCCAGCUUGACUGCGAGCGUGACGGCGCGAGCAGGUGCGAAAGCAGGUCAUAGUGAUCCGGUGGUUCUGAAUGGAAGGGCCAUCGCUCAACGGAUAAAAGGUACUCCGGGGAUAACAGGCUGAUACCGCCCAAGAGUUCAUAUCGACGGCGGUGUUUGGCACCUCGAUGUCGGCUCAUCACAUCCUGGGGCUGAAGUAGGUCCCAAGGGUAUGGCUGUUCGCCAUUUAAAGUGGUACGCGAGCUGGGUUUAGAACGUCGUGAGACAGUUCGGUCCCUAUCUGCCGUGGGCGCUGGAGAACUGAGGGGGGCUGCUCCUAGUACGAGAGGACCGGAGUGGACGCAUCACUGGUGUUCGGGUUGUCAUGCCAAUGGCACUGCCCGGUAGCUAAAUGCGGAAGAGAUAAGUGCUGAAAGCAUCUAAGCACGAAACUUGCCCCG